CUUUACCAAAAGGUCCCUUGUAUUGUCAGUAUUCACAUUUCCCUUAACACAAGGUGUAUUUAAUAUCUCAAAUUUUAAAUCAAAUUAUAAUUCCUUUCAACAUUUCCCAACAACCUUCACACAUGAUACUGAUAGUAGCCUAUUCUCAUAAUACUGCUGGCACAAGUCUACCAGUCCUAAAGUUUUUAUUUUGUUUCUCUUCUCAUUAUAAGCAGAGACAAGACUACAACUAAAUUUCAAGCAACAUCAUAUGUAUCUAUACACCCUUGGGGGAUCUCUCCACACAACAUCCUUCUGUACACCCUCUUUGUUCCCAUCUCUUAUGUGCAUUUCUACAACCCAUAACUCCUCUUUACUCCCACACCUUCAAAAUCACAUAAACAUAUUUAAAUCGAAUUCUUUGAGACUCGAAAAGGACACUAAGAAUUACACACACCCUCAUUCUAAUAGAUUUAGUAUGAUGAAUACAAUCAAUUACCAUACAUUGAAUAAAAUUAGAACACUAUGUCAAUAGACAAAUGUAUAACUCUUGAACAGGAUAAAAGAUUAAGACUGUGGAGGUGAGAAAAGGAAGCUGUUCAAGAUUCAUUAGCUCCUGAGUAAAGCCAGAGAGAGCAUGUCUGCUAGAAUUGCAGACAGCUCACUGAGGAUGGUAACUUGGAAGGCAUCUUUCCAGAUGGCAGUCCACGUUUGACUGGCAGAGGGUUUUGUAUGUUCAGUUGAUGGUGACAUUACACAGACCGGGAACUCUUCAUACAGCAACAUUAUCUUUAUGGCUGUUUUGUUCUUUAGUGUUUCAUAGCCAACUUCAUGUCAUGCAGGACAAUAUAAUGUACACUUUUUGAGCUCACAUUGCUCUUCAAAGAUUUCCUGCGGAGAUGAAAGUAAACUAGAGAAUUUAGUUUUAUUGUGUAUCAUUUUGACCCAUUCAAUUAUAAUCAUUUUUAUUACCGCUCAAACUCUGAUUUACGAAAGGAAGACGUGCGAUUAACAGGCUGUAAUAAAUUCCUCACCCCUCUUUGGUUCCGUACUCUUGAGUUUCUCCCGCUGUAUCUGACCUCAUGCUUUACGCAGUGCGGUCGUCGAGUUGAUAAUCCGUGUCAGUAAUCUCUUUUAACAAUUUAUUUCAGAAAGACAGAUCAAACACACCAUUUCCCCUGACGUGGAGUACAGACCGGUAGGUCAUUCUAUUGUUAUAUGUUAAUUAGCCAUAUGGAUAACUUUUUUUUAACUUGCUGGCUAGCUAGUUGCUUGCUGGCUAGCUAGCGUUCAUGUAAUUUAAGUUCUGUCGGAGUUUCCUUCGCACACAUUUGAUUGUUAACGAUAGCUUGGCGAGAGUGACAUUUAUACUUCAGUUUUCAUACGAGCCUUGAUUUGGUAGCUUGUCGAAUGUUGUUAUCCUGACACUCCAGUUUUGUUUCUUGGCUAUUGGCUAGCCACUUUCGUUUUGCUAAACCAUUUGGAAGAAAAUAUUGCUGACACGUUAGCCAGACAGGCCAGUGACCACAUUCAAGUUGUUACUGACCUAUUCUUCAAUUUUAGCACAUUGCGCUCUGUUCUUGCCGAGAUUAAUUAUUAUAUCUACAUUAAGGAUUUGUAUGUUCUUCUAUCUCGCAAAUAUAGAUCGAGUCCUGUAGUUGAGUUAUAUUUGACUUUUUAUCAGCACACCUUGGUGACGCCAGUCAAUCAGCUACAUCACCUUUCACAUGCUCGUGCAUCAUCAACAAAGACGAAUGGUGAGACUGAUAGUCGGCUUCAUUUUCAAGUCUUGUGUUGGUAAGAAUGGAUUUGGCAAUAUAUUUGUAUGGUCAAACUGUGUGAAAUAUGAUAUUGUGAAACAUUGCACCGUUAAACGUGAGCAGGAGUCUAUUUUAUGGAAUUGAUUGGGAUCAAUGCCAAUUGUCAAUCGAGCACGGCAAAAUGAGAUUGACUUUACAGCACCCAUUUGAGUCAAGACUCAAACUGACAGAUGUAGAGUGUGGUAUAGCAGCUAGAUAAUGCAUUAUCUCGAUAUUAUUAAAAAAACAUAGCUGAUAUCUGCUUCUGUCCCUUGCAGCCCCGUAUUUGCAGUGACUGGUGUUGUUGAGCCACCUUGUGGUGUUUGCACACAGUGUUCCCCCCCUGCCUCCCUCUCUCUGUUUCUCCAUCUACUCUGUCGCAUUUUUUUCUCUCACUCUUUCUCAGUUGUUAGGGUGUUUGACACCUGAGGUCUGCCACUAUGCAGCCUGGAGGAGCACACAAUGCUGUGUGUGGCCAGAGCCUGCUGUCCAACUCCCUUAGGGUGUAUCUGAACAACAAGAACAGACUGCAGCCCAUAAUCGGUCAGGAACAACUCUGUGUUUUUGUAAAUGAUACGUCUGUGUUUUAGACCAAUGUGUGUACUUUAGACCUGUGUGUGUGUUUUUAGGUCUGGGCUGUGUGACAGAGUGUGUGACACUCGGCUUGGACUCUGAGGCGGUGUACCUGUGUGAGGUGUGUGUGUGUCGUCUCAGUAAGGCUGAUGUCAGGAGCCACAUCAUGGGGAGUCUCCACCGAUACAACUACAUUAAAGUCCAUCACCCUCACUUUGUGUCAGAGUGGAAGCAGAGUCCUCCUGACCUGUCCAAGCUGGCCCGGCCUCUUAUGGAGAUGGCUCAAAUACUAGAGAAGAGAGAAGGAACCGGGGACGUACAGGUGCUGAAGUUGGAUGCUGCCAUGUAUGACGAUAUGACAACACACAGCGAGAGUGAUGCUCUCAUCCUCUUGCAUGCCACCAGGACUGGGAGGGAGCAGAGAGAUCUUCAGAGCCAAUCAGUGAAGCAAUCAGUCCAGUCGGAGUAUCUUACCAUCCAGUCACAGAGAACUGUGAUAUCGCCUCGGAGGCUCUCCGUCCAACCAGAGAGGCCUGUUGUCCAGCUUGACAACCGAACCGUCCUAUGGAGGAGUCCGACCACCCAGAGUCGGAACUCAUCUAGCCAAUCGGAGAAGUCCCCUGUGUUGCAGCAGAGUGUCUCUAUCCAAUCACGGCUUAGUUCGUUGGAGGAGGAGUUUCUCCAUGGAAGCAAGCCACUGGUUGGUGCUUCACUGAAGCGUCCUGCCUCAUCAUGGCAGCAUGACCCCUCUCUUUCCCCGACCCCAAAUGUCACAGCUGGAAGUCAGACGUCUCUGGGCGGGCCUGAGGGGAAGGGGGCGGGACUGCAGGGGGUUCCUGCAAAGCUGAUUCGCUGUGAGCCGGUGUUCAAGGUCAGUCUAUCUAUGACGGACGGCCCCUGGCUGUUGGAGAGGAACUCCUUCAGCCUGGAAACCUCCCCCUCCUCCCUCAGACACGCCUCACCCCUUCACUCCCCCACCGUAGAUGCCUCACUCCAACCCUCUCCCGAUCCCUCACGUUUGCUUGGCCAGCCGGGAAACUCAGUUGCCGCAAGACUCGGAAACACACAUGAAAAUACACACACUCCGGGACUGAGACGCACUCCGGGACAUGCACACACUUCAACUAUGAGACUGAGCCCAGCCAUACCUGAUGAGCAGCUGACUAUGGGAGACGAGGACACAGAGAAAGACCGUCUGUAUCUCGGAGGGGAACAGAGGUUCACCGACUAUGCUUUGUACGAUGGCAGAGAGAAAAACACAACUGACCUGGUUUACCUCAGGAGAGAGCAGGACCGAACUGACCAUCUGUAUUCAGAAAAUAACCGACUCACUGACACAAAGUUCCAUGUCCGAGUGGGGCAGAACAACCGACAAGGCAGUAUUUACCCCGGUCUAGCCUGUGCCAGAGACAUCACUGACACAGCGUCUGUUGCCGGGCCGAUUCUCUUCACUACCGGCUGUCUCUUGAAGGAGAGCUUGACAGACACUCCUCUAAUGGAAGAAGAACAGGAGGAGGAGAGGGGGAAUGAGUGUCAUUCUGGGGCACAGAGGCUUGCAGAGGAUGACAGGACAACUGACAGUCUGUACUCUACUGGAGAGAGGAUAACAGACAGUGGGUUUUCCACAGGAAGCAGGUCAAAUGACAAAAUGUACCAAACAGGAGAACGAUCAACUGACAAUCAGUCUUUUACAACAGAAGUGACAACUGACUGUUGGUAUGCUACAGGAGAGGAGCUAACUGACCGUCAGUUGAUGGAGGAAGAGGAGCGAUGCAGAGCUGAAAUUCAGAAUGGAGUUGGGCUCAUCGUGGAGGUCAUGGUGGAGGAGGGGGAGAGAGAGGAAGGAAAGGAUGGAGAGAGGGAGGAGAACUCAGACUUUUACCACCAACAGUAUUUGCAAGGCCAGCCUCUACAACGGCACCAGGCGCAGGGGUUCACAGGAACUCAUAGGGGCGCCGUAGGGCUUCAUAUGGUUGACACAGCAGAUCUCAGACAUGACAUAGCCCUUCAUAGAGAUCAGGCAGGGCCAGCCCUUCACCGAGAAGAGAUGAGCAGUCGUAUGGGUGACAUAGCAGCUAUGCAGCAGGUGCAGUUAUGUGAGGCUGAGUACAGAGAAGCAUGGGCCUAUGGAGGCACACAGCUGACCCCUGACACCUAUAGAUCAGGUCCGCAGGAGUAUGAGACUGACCCUGGCUCCUACCUGCCAUUCCCAGAGGGCCACAGAAUAAACUGUGACCCCCACCAAGUGGUUUCUGAUUGGUUUAGAACCACCCCUGGCCCGCACUUCGUUCACUCUAACCCUGACGAGUUUACACCCCAGGUCCUCCCGUACCCCCACAAUACAAUGCCCCAGGGGUUUGGACCCAAUCCCCACUCUGGUCCCUUCCCCAUGAAGAUGAGGGGCGUGCAGUCACAGGAGUACAGAAGGCUCCCCAGCCCCCCAUUUGUUAUGGUGUCUAGACCCUGCCACCCUCAGCCCUUCUUUCCAGGACAUGAAGGCUUUCUGUCCCCCCGGCACAGCCCAGCCUUACCUCCCAGCCCUCCCCACUACAGAGGAGCCUACUUGGGCCACAGCCCUGCCCGGAGUCCCUGGGCAGGACCAGGACCUCCCUGGGUCUAAUUACCACACACCAUACAUAAAUCCACCAGGAUAGUUAUUUGUGGCACUUUAGACACUGUUGUUUUAAAUGGACAGGUGUUUUGUGUGUUUUAUACACUCUAGGUUCUAUUGUUUUUAUAGCUGUCUUAAACCAACAGUAUCCCAUCCAUUGUAUAAGUGCUGAUUUUAGGUACUUCCCCUGUAUGAUGUCAUGAAAUCUCAUUGACAACUGGCAACGAUUCAACUCACCGGUUCAAUUCUGUUACCAAUUCAGAUUUAUACAAGACUUGUUUGUUUUAAGUUGUUUGUCUUCUACCGUCGAAUCAAGAUGGAGCUGAGAUGGAUAAAUAGACAACACGUUGAACACUGGCUAAAUUUUAUAAUAUGAACUCAGUUUGUGAAAUAUCUAUUUUUCAACAACAAAUAUUUUGGUUAAUGCAAAAAAAAAUCUAUGGUUAUAUUAACAUUAAGGUUUAUUUUACACAAUAAGGGGGAUCAAUUAGGGGUUCAACAUUGACCUUUCCAGAACUGUCUAGAAGGAGGCGCUGUAUUAGUUUUCAGUUCGACCAGCUGAGGGAAGCAGAGCUGAAUAAGUUGUUUAAAAUGAUGUUCAGAAACACAACACUUGUUAAAAUAAACAGUUUUAUGUUUAAAUGCUUUUUAUAUUUGCCAUGUGUGCUUCCCUCAUGAAGUUGGGUUUAUUUCAGUGUAACAACAGCUUUGGCCAGUGUUAUACUUUGACUUUGGUUCACACACCUUUACAUUGGCUUAACUGAGUAGAUCUGAUUCCAUUUGUUGAAUUAUUAGUGUUAAUUUGAAGAUUAUUCCCCCAAAAUGUUUAUGUGCAGCAGGUACGACAGACUUGGAUUCGCCUCUUCCUAUAGGCAGACUACGCGCUGCCCUUUUCUUUUUCAAGGAACUGUUGGGUCUCAACUCACUUUUGAAAAGUAGAAUACACCAGGUGCAAUUUUGACAUUUUGUUGUGUAUCAGUAGUUUCCCACUUAUGACAGUCGCUCAAUGAGACCAUGUCAGCAAAACAUUUUAAGAUUGCUAGGUAAGGUAGUUGAGCCAGGGCCCUGACCUCCAGGGGGGCCUCCAUUGGUUUUGUAAUUUUGUCACUCUUUCACAGACACUCAUAUAUAUAUAUAUAUAUAUAUACACACACACACAAGUAUAUGUGGAUUUGUCUAUUUCAGCCACACCUGUUGCUGACAGGUGUUUAAAAUCGAGCACACAGCCAUUCAAUCUCCAUAGACAAACAUUCGCAGUAGAAUGGCCUUACUGAAGAGCUCAGUUACUUUCAACGGGGCACUGUCAUAGGGUUCCACAUUCUCCAACAAGUCAGUUUGUCUAGAGCUACUCGGUCAAUUGUUAUUGUGAAGUGGAAACGUCUUGGAGAAACAACAGCUCGGCUGCGAAGUGGUAGGCCACACAAGCUCACAGAACGGGACCGCCGAGUGCUGUAGAGCACAAAGAUUGUCUGUCCCCUGUUGCAACACUCACUACAGAGUUCCAAACUGGAGGAGGAGGGGGGGUUCUAAAAGGCUAGAGGCAGCACUGGAAAGGCUACUCAGCAAGUGGCAUUGAACUUUAUUUUUUUGGUCAGUUUUGUCUCCCCCACUGCCCAAUGUCAAUUUGUGGGCAUGAUACAACUUGUCAAGCAGGUCUAUAAUAUGGUUAAUGUAGCACAGCUGGAUUCAAGUUGUUUUUUUUAACCUGUUUUUCCAUUGAGUCAAUGCUGUAUUCAAGCGUCUCAUACUAGUUUAUUUUUUUAUUUGCUGCUGUAUUUGAGUACAUUAUGGCCUUCAGGCUAAUAAAGUCACAGUAUCCAUUGAUCUCCUGCUCCAGUCAUCUCCAGCCAUGCAGUGGCUCCCAAUUUAUUAUUUUUUACCAAAGACAAACCAAAUCUUACAUGAGG
Molecule: long non-coding RNA, 6869 nt
Organism: Oncorhynchus tshawytscha (Chinook salmon)
Lineage: Eukaryota; Metazoa; Chordata; Actinopteri; Salmoniformes; Salmonidae
Source: Ensembl